This 441-nucleotide ribosomal RNA is filed under the name uncultured bacterium. RNAcentral's name for it is "partial 16S ribosomal RNA". It matches the Rfam family "Bacterial small subunit ribosomal RNA", at positions 338 to 795 of the family's 1533-position model. The record is from RNAcentral.
CCUACGGGAGGCAGCAGUGGGGAAUAUUGCACAAUGGGGGAAACCCUGAAGCAGCGAAGCCGCGUGAGUGAAGAAGUAUUUCGGUAUUGAAAGCUCUAUCAGCAGGGAAGAAUCAAGACGGUACCUGACUAAGAAGCCCCGGCUAACUACGUGCCAGCAGCCGCGGUAAUACGUAGGAGGCAAGCGUUAUCCGGAUUUACUGGGUUUAAAGGGAGCGUAGACGGUAUGGCAAGUCUGAAGUGAAAGCCCAGGGCUUAACCCUGGGACUGCUUUGGAAACUGUUAGACUAGAGUGCUGGAGAGGUAAGUGGAAUUCGUAGUGUAGCGGUGAAAUGCGUAGAUAUUAGGAGGAACACCAGUGGCGAAGGCAGCUUACUGGACAGUAACUGACGUUGAGGCUCGAAAGCGUGGGGAGCAAACAGGAUUAGAUACCCUUGUAGUC